GAAAGGAAAGGAUUAGGGAGUCGUGAUGGCGCAAAACUCAAACAUUGCGCGUGUCGAUCAAGACAUGGAACUUCCAAAAUGGUGUCAAGCGUCGACGGAAGCUUCACUUCAAAGGUUUACACGAGGACAUGGUUCAAUGGUUAAUCUCCUUAACCUUCUGUCGGACCAUGCAAGCAUGGAGAAAAAGGUCAGCCAACUCUACGAAGAGUUUGAAACAAAGUGGAAGAAGAGAGCCCUUAUUGAAAUUGGUGGCACCAUAGCUGACGACGAGGUGAAUGUUGUAUUGAGAAUCUGGAUGGCCACUUACAAGGAAAAGCAAGAUCAGCAUAUCCAAUUAUUAAGCUCACUGACUGCCACAGAUGGCCCCAUUCGAAGCCUUCAGAAUUACAUCAACUCAGAAGAGGCCAAGGCUACAAGGGAGGCCACUCUAUCACUCUUUGAAAGGGCAAAGCAAAAGCAGGCUAUGCUGGAGAAGGACAUCAAACAGCUGAAGGGGAACUUCUUCCUGGCUAAGGACAAAGAGGUUGACUUCAAGCUGGAGCUGGACGCUGCACAGGACGACCAUGCCCGAUAUGGUGCUCUGGUGACUCGGUGGAAGCAGCUGCAGGCUGAUGGUGAAAGGGCCAGCACAUCCUACAGACAAAAACUGCAAGAGGAAAAAUCUACACGAACGACUUUCAUAGAAGAAAUGAAAAGAUUCCAGGAUGAAUCUAAUGCUCAUGAGAGAGCCCGCCUUCAGCAGCUGCAGCAUGUGAUGACUUCAGUCAUACAAAUCAGUAAAGCAGUAGAAAUCCACAGGGGAGAGAGACUGGGUCCAUUAUUUGAAGAUGGAAUCUCCCGCCUUGAGAAAUAUGACUUUGAGAGAGAAAUUGCCCUCUUCAAUCAGCUCAAUGUGUAUCAGCAUGAGUUCCCUGUGGAACAGCUGCACCCAUCUGAAGUGUUGGCCAAGAAGGAAACAGAGGAGAAAUCUCAUUUAGACUUUCCGCCAUCUCCAACAGCUCAAGCUGGCCCAUCUAUAGAGUUGGCCAAGAAGAAAACAGAGAAGAAAUCUCACUUAGACGUGGCGCCAUCUUUGGCAGCUAAAGCUGUCCCAUCUGUACAGUUUGCCAAGAAGGAAACAGAGGAGAAAUCUCACUUCGAUGCGGCGCCAUCUCCGGCAGCUGAAGCUGUCCCAUCUGUACAGUUUGCCAAGAAGAAAUCUUACUUAGAUGCGGCGCCAUCUCCGGCAGCUAAAGCUAACCAAUCUGUAAAGUUGGCCAAGAAGAAAACAGAGGAGAAAUCCCACAUAGAUACGGCGCCAUCUCCGGCAACUAAAGCUGUCCCAUCUGUAAAGUUGGCCGAUAAGAAAUCUCACUUAGAUGCGGCGCCAUCUCCGGCAACUAAAGCUGUCCCACCUGUAGAGUUGGCCAAGAAGAAAUCUCACUUAGAUGCGGCGCCAUCUCCGGCAACUAAAGCUGGCCCAUCUGUAAAGUUGUCCAAGAAGGAAACAGAGAAGAAAUCUCACUUAGAUGUGGCGCCAUCUCUGGCAGCUGAAGCUGGCCCAUCUGUAGAGUUGAAUGACAUUCAAGUACUGCCAGUCACAAAAGAGACAGCUGUGCCUGUACGACCCAUACUAAAGUCAGCGGGGCCAAGGACAAGACAACGAUCCCGUCAUGUGAGGUAUGCAGUCCCGAGACCAUCAGACUUCCGCACCAUCCCUGCAAGGCCGGGGCCCUACAACCCUGUGCGAAGGAGAAGCCACACAGUCAAGCCCAUUGUGGAGAAUACUGGCAGCAUCGCAUAUUUUGAUGAUCUCCUGAAACCAGUAGUGACCACAGCUAUUGGUAUCACACACAUUGCACAAGGCCAUACAGUCAAAGUGUACGCAGUCAAGGACAUCUUUGGUGUCUCAGUGAAUGACAUCACAUGCAAAGCAGGAUGUAAGAUUUACAUGACGCGACCUGCUUCCUCUGGCUCUGCCUUUGGAUACAUCAAGAAGGGCUGGCUGUUCAAGAGGAAGAUAUAUGGCUACUUCGAUGAACAGCUCGUCACCAUCCUCAAGAAGCCAGGCACUGAUAAAACCUCCAACUUAAUGUGUUAGAUACCAUGACCUGUCCACCCUCCCUACCGGACUUGGCUAUCAACUUAAUAAGGACUUCUGAGCUAUUUGUGAUACACUUUGAUAUUUGUUUUUUGUCACAUGGAUGUAGUGUUAACUGUUUUUGAGAAUUUUUUGCUUGAUCUGUGAUGUGAAUUUGAUAUUUUUGGGGAUGUAUUUUGUGGUAUGGAGUCAUAGAUGAUUUAUUGAAGUGUAUGGUUACCAUGUUACAAAUCCUUUUAUAAGGAUGCUUUUUACAAUGAGAUGAGAUGAAUCUGUUGUGUGAGGGAUGUUCACAUGGAAAUGUGAAAUGUGUGGGAUUUAUCUAUUGUUAAAUGUUUGAAUUAUGCAAAAUACCUGGAUGUAUGUGGGGGUCAACACAAGUGGGUCUGUUACCCUGCAAGGAAAUAGAUCAUUUGUAUAGAGAAAUGAGGGAAGCUCAGACCAAUCAGUGCUAAGAUUACAAUGCCCAAAACUGCAAUAUUUCUCACUUGAUAAUGUGUGUGAAACAUGUGCCCUAGGCUUGUGGUAGGUGCUCCACUCAUUGAUUCAAUGCCAGGCAACAUCAGUGCUCCCUAAAAGUUCUCCACUAAACCAUCGGCCCAAUGUAAUCGGGGAGGUAGAUACAGCACACAGGUCUCCACUAAACCAUUGGCCUAGUGUAAUCGGGGAGGUACAUAUAGCACACAGGUCUCCACUAAAUCAUCGGCCCAAUGUAAUCGGGGAGGUACAUAUAGCACACAGGUCUCCACUAAAUCAUCGGCCCAAUGUAAUCGGGGAGGUAGAUACAGCACACAGGUCUCCACUAAAUCAUCGGCCCAAUGUAAUCGGGGAGGUACAUAUAGCACACAGGUCUCCACUAAACAUCGGCCCUGUGUAAUCGGGGAAUCUUACUGCUAACAAUACUCAAAAUCGAUACUAAAAAUACUAAUAUCCUCUACUAACAAUAAUACUAAUACUAAUAUCCUACUACUUACAAUACUACCACUGAUAUCCUGCUACUAACAAUACUACUACUGAUAUCAUGCUACUAACAAUACUACUACUGAUAUCCUGCUACUAACAAUACUACUACUGAUAUCCUGCUACUAACAAUACUACCACUGAUAUCCUGCUACUAACAAUACUACUACUGAUAUCAUGCUACUAACAAUACUACUACUGAUAUCCUGCUACUAACAAUACUACUACUGAUAUCCUGCUACUAACAAUACUACUACUGAUAUCCUGCUACUAACAAUACUACUACUGAUAUCCUGCUACUAACAAUACUACUAAAACAUAUCGGGUCACUGUAUUCACAGGUGAUGGAGGGUCGUAGAGAACACAUCUCUCCACAACACACAUAUCGGGUCACUGUAUUCACAGGUGAUGGAGGGUCGUAGAGAACACAUCUCUCCACAACACACAUAUCGGGUCACUGUAUUCACAGGUGAUGGAGGGUCGUAGAGAACACAUCUCUCCACAACACACAUAUCGGGUCACUGUAUUCACAGGUGAUGGAGGGUCGUAGAGAACACAUCUCUCCACGACACACAUAUCGGGUCACUGUAUUCACAGGUGAUGGAGGGUCGUAGAGAACACAUCUCUCCACAACACACAUAUCGGGUCACUGUAUUCACAGGUGAUGGAGGGUCGUAGAGAACACAUCUCUCCACAACACACAUAUCGGGUCACUGUAUUCACAGGUGAUGGAGGGUCGUAGAGAACACAUCUCUCCACAACACACACAUUGGGUCACUGUAUUCACAGGUGAUGGAGGGUUGUAGAGAACACAUCUCUCCACAACACACAUAUCGGGUCACUGUAUUCACAGGUGAUGGAGGGUCGUAGAGAACACAUCUCUCCACAACACACAUAUCGGGUCACUGUAUUCACAGGUGAUGGAGGGUCGUAGAGAACACAUCUCUCCACUACACACAUAUCGGGUCACUGUAUUCACAGGUGAUGGAGGGUCGUAGAGAACACAUCUCUACACAACACAUAUCGGGUCACUGUAUUCACAGGUGAUGGAGGGUUGUAGAGAACACAUCUCUCCACAACACACAUAUCGGGUCACUGUAUUCACAGGUGAUGGAGGGUCGUAGAGAACACAUCUCUCCACAACACACACAUCGGGUCACUGUAUUCACAGGUGAUGGAGGGUCGUAGAGAACACAUCUCUCCACUACACACAUAUCGGGUCACUGUAUUCACAGGUGAUGGAGGGUCGUAGAGAACACAUCUCUCCACAACACACAUAUCGGGUCACUGUAUUCACAGGUGAUGGAGGGUCGUAGAGAACACAUCUCUCCACAACACACAUAUCGGGUCACUGUAUUCACAGGUGAUGGAGGGUCGUAGAGAACACAUCUCUCCACAACACACAUAUCGGGUCACUGUAUUCACAGGUGAUGGAGGGUCGUAGAGAACACAUCUCUCCACAACACACAUAUUGGGUCACUGUAUUCACAGGUGAUGGAGGGUCGUAGAGAACACAUCUCUCCCCAACACACAUAUUGGGUCACUGUAUUCACAGGUGAUGGAGGGUCAUAGAGAACACAUCUCUGCACAACACACAUAUCGGGUCACUGUAUUCACAGGUGAUGGAGGGUCGUAGAGAACACAUCUCACCACAACACACAUAUCGGGUCACUGUAUUCACAGGUGAUGGAGGGUCGUAGAGAACACAUCUCUCCACAACACACAUAUCGGGUCACUGUAUUCACAGGUGAUGGAGGGUCGUAGAGAACACAUCUCUCCACAACACACAUAUUGGGUCACUGUAUUCACAGGUGAUGGAGGGUCGUAGAGAACACAUCUCUCCACAACACACAUAUCGGGUCACUGUAUUCACAGGUGAUGGAGGGUUCGUAGAGAACAUAUCUCUCCACAACACACACAUCGGGUCACUGUAUUCACAGGUGAUGGAGGGUUGUAGAGAACACAUCUCUCCACAACACACACAUAUUGGGUCACUGUAUUCACAGGUGAUGGAGGGUCGUAGAGAACACAUCUCUCCACAACACACAUAUCGGGUCACUGUAUUCACAGGUGAUGGAUGGUCGUAGAGAACACAUCUCUCCACAACACACAUAUCGGGUCACUGUAUUCACAGGUGAUGGAGGGUCGUAGAGAACACAUCUCUCCACAACACACAAAUCGGGUCACUGUAUUCACAGGUGAUGGAGGGUCGUAGAGAACACAUCUCUCCACAACACACAUAUCGGGUCACUGUAUUCACAGGUGAUGGAGGGUCGUAGAGAACACAUCUCUCCACAACACACAUAUGGGGUCACUGUAUUCACAGGUGAUGGAGGGUCGUAGAGAACACAUCUCUCCACAACACACAUAUCGGGUCACUGUAUUCACAGGUGAUGGAGGGUUCGUAGAGAACACAUCUCUCCACAACACACACAUCGGGUCACUGUAUUCACAGGUGAUGGAGGGUUGUAGAGAACACAUCUCUUCACAACACACACAUAUUGGGUCACUGUAUUCACAGGUGAUGGAGGGUCGUAGAGAACACAUCUCUCCACAACACACAUAUCGGGUCACUGUAUUCACAGGUGAUGAAGGGUCGUAGAGAACACAUCUCUCCACAACACACAUAUCGGGUCACUGUAUUCACAGGUGAUGGAGGGUUCGUAGAGAACACAUCUCUCCACAACACACACAUCGGGUCACUGUAUUCACAGGUGAUGGAGGGUUGUAGAGAACACAUCUCUCCACAACACACACAUAUUGGGUCACUGUAUUCACAGGUGAUGGAGGGUCGUAGAGAACACAUCUCUCCACAACACACAUAUCGGGUCACUGUAUUCACAGGUGAUGGAGGGUCGUAGAGAACACAUCUCUCCACAACACAGACAUAUUGGGUCACUGUAUUCACAGAUGAUGGAGGGUCGUAGAGAACACAUCUCUCCACAACACACAUAUCGGGUGACUGUAUUCACAGGUGAUGGAGGGUCGUAGAGAACACAUCUCUCCACAACACACAUAUCGGGUCACUGUAUUCACAGGUGAUGGAGGGUCGUAGAGAACACAUCUCUCCACAACACACAUAUCGGGUCACUGUAUUCACAGGUGAUGGAGGGUCGUAGAGAACACAUCUCUCCACAACACACAUAUUGGGUCACUGUAUUCACAGGUGAUGGAGGGUCGUAGAGGACACAUCUCUCCACAACACACAUAUCUGGUCACUGUUUUCACAGGUGAUGGAGGGUCUUAGAGAACACAUCUCUCCACAACACACAUAUCUGGUCACUGUUUUCACAGGUGAUGGAGGGUCGUAGAGAACACAUCUCUCCACAACACACAUAUCGGGUCACUGUAUUCACAGGCGAUGGAGGGUUCGUAGAGAACAUAUCUCUCCACAACACACAUAUCGGGUCACUGUAUUUACAGAUGAUGGAGGGUCGUAGAGAACACAUCUCUCUCCAACACAUAUUGGGCCACUGUAUUCACAGGUGAUGGAGGGUGGUGUUACAGAUUCUUUACAUCCAGGGAUGGAUGAAUAUAUUCCUGAGUGCUAGAGGAAUGCUGAGUACCCAUUGACAUGAAGUAUUGAUGAUGCCUGGUUAACAGACUAAUAGUCAAGUAGCUCAGUAGUCAACAGUCUUUGCGUAUGGAAUAAUUUACAUCUAGACAUGGAUCGAUGAUUUCUUCCAACAAAAGGGGGCACGGGUGGCCCAGUCGUCUGAGUCGCCGCCAUUCGCUGUGCAGAGUUGCGUCCCUUGGGCACGCCAGAAACCUAUGAUUGUGCGUUCGAAUCCCGGUUUGCCC
RNAcentral lists this unclassified non-coding RNA (6841 nucleotides) under Haliotis rufescens (red abalone). RNAcentral describes it as "uncharacterized LOC124116558, transcript variant X1". The record is from RNAcentral. Lineage: Eukaryota; Metazoa; Mollusca; Gastropoda; Lepetellida; Haliotidae.